RNAcentral lists this unclassified non-coding RNA (1926 nucleotides) under Monomorium pharaonis (pharaoh ant). RNAcentral's name for it is "uncharacterized LOC105829298, transcript variant X1". The record is from RNAcentral. Lineage: Eukaryota; Metazoa; Arthropoda; Insecta; Hymenoptera; Formicidae.
GCGGUUAACGGUUAAUAAAAGAUAACGCUUGUACCGAAGACAAGUCAGUAGUCACCCCGACCGCUUCUCGACCGCCGAUCGAGUUUGUUCGAUUGAGUUCGUCGGUCCUAAAAGCGUUCGAACCAAAGAUAAAUGCGACACAAAGUCAACUCCUUUACAUCUUUCAUCUUUUCCGUUUGAUCUUCCUAACAUCCGCUUCGACGAAUAUCAAGAUUAGAUUGUGCGAUACCACAAGUUUGGAUCAUAUUGGAAGAGAACGCCAUGAUCCAAUUCACUACUGGAACAAACUUCGACGAGCGUCAUUGACUCAUCGAGUUUACGCUUUCUGAGAGUGGCUUUAAAAAAGUUGGUUUGUAAACUGAUCCGAGGGAAUACAACGAGUACGAGAGAAGAUAUGCCAUCAUUUCUUCCUAGAUAAAGGAUGUCACGACGACGGCGACGAGGACGAGGGCGUCGAUGAUGAAAACUAGUCUUGAUAAACAGGAGGCGAAUUAAAUGAAAAAUCGAUUCCAUAGCCCGAGAAAUGAAUAUCGCGACGUUCGUGCCUAAAUGUUUAGGAUCACCGGCAAUUUCUUCAAGUUGAUUUCAAGUCGUGCGUCUCCUAGAAGGGAAAAUAUUCACUUAUAGUAAUUUCGAUGGGACGAACGAUGCGUAAUGACGAGCGGCGGUGGCGGCGACGACGGCGUGACUACUAAAUUCAAUUCGGAUUGGGUAAGAAUGGUUGAGCUGCAUGCGGCAGCUGGUGCCAGGAUGACUGAGAGUUUAGACAGAGCCAGAUCGUCAAAUCGUCUACACUAUGCCAUCUUGACGAUCCUGGACACGAUAUUCUCCGCGCUCGUAGCUGCGCCGGCGGUAGUCGGUUAUUGGCGCGGCACUUGGGAGCUCAGCGAUUUCUACGUCUAUCCGGACGAGCCGGUGUUGAGCAGUUUCGCGUCGAUCACGAUCGGUUUCACCGGCCUCUUUGCCUUUAGCGUGUUACAGCACGGUCUGGAUGACGUUCUGCAUCCGGAUAAGCAUCGGCUGUCCUAUUAUCUCGGCUCGCGAUUUUACACCGGCGUUUUCGGCUUCUGCUGCGUAAACGCCUGGCGUGGUGCCUGGAAGGCCUUGGACAUCUAUACAGAGCUGACGCCUGGCACCGUCUCCGCUACGACCAUCGUUAGUCUUCUCGCGCUUGGUAUUAUGCGCGCUGUCCGCAACGUAUCCGCGCCACCCUUCUCCCUCGUUCUCGACUCGUGUCCGGGUUACUUUCAAGUGCAGACUAUGUUUCGCGUUAACAUAUCGCAAUAUCUAUCACGUGCGGUUACAGAAUACGAGGGACUGGUCGCUGUACUUACUGGAUUGCGCCUUCAGUGUCGGUGUCGUGGGCACGUUGGUUGUCUUCGUUUGGAGAGGAGUUUGGAUCUUGUUCGACAUAUACCUGUUUCCAGAAAAUGCCGAGUAUUCUGCCAUUGGUUCACUGGCUAUCGGGUAUUUUAUAGUGGCCGUGACGUUUUGUCUACAACCGUUGAUGCGAUAUAUCUGCGCGCGUCUUCAGGGUCUUAUUCGCUUGAUGGUUGCGGAUGCCUUUUUGUUUUUGAGUUUUUUGGGGACCGUGAACGUCUGGCGCGGUAUAUGGAACGCGCUCGAUCUGUGGCUGCUGCCGGACAAUCUGGAAUUGUCUUGCUGGAUCACUCACGUUGGCUGUUUUGUUUUUCUGGUCCUUCUUAAUUGUAGCAAUACCAUUCUAGUUCGUGGCGUUUAUAUUGAUGCCGAAGAAGAGAAAGGACAGUGUGUCGUGUUUCCAUGUCACUACCUUCGAUUAUUCUUUAAGAUCGAACGCGAAAAGAAGCAAGCACGACGGCAGAAACUGUUGGUAGCCUCCCAAGAUUUCAUCGGUCAUACCGAUGUAAAUGAGAAGGAUGGUGAAAAUGGGACCCUUUUACCAAA